Telopea speciosissima is the source of this 331-nucleotide long non-coding RNA. RefSeq lists it as uncharacterized. The transcript has 2 exons. The record is from RefSeq and is a predicted model, not a curated record. NCBI's taxonomy places the organism in Eukaryota, Viridiplantae, Streptophyta, Magnoliopsida, Proteales, Proteaceae.
UCACACCACCACCACAUGCUUUGCAAAGAUUACACCACAACACACAAAAUGGUACAAUCUUAUCAUCAAGAAUACAAGUAAUUACACCGUUACACAGUACAGAAUUACAUAUAGAUUACAAAUUAGAGCAAAAGGAAAAGAUUAGACAAUUACAUAAGAGUAACUUCAACCUGAUCAAGCAAAAAAAACCUAGCAGACCAGAUCAAGAGAUGAGACAUAUUAACAUGACCUUAUUAAGAUGUAAGACCCUCUACCUUAACUGACUCUAACCUUACCAGACUCUCCAAGCUAGCCCUGCAAAUGUCAAAACCUCAUUGUAGUAGCUACCAGA